UGGGGAAUAUUGCGCAAUGGGGGAAACCCUGACACAGCGACGCCGCGUGGGUGAUGAAGGCCUUCGGGUCGUAAAGCCCUGUCGGGAGGGAAGAAACACUCCGGACCUAAUACGUCCGGGAAUUGACGGUACCUCCUAAGGAAGCACCGGCUAACUCCGUGCCAGCAGCCGCGGUAAUACGGAAGGGGCAAGCGUUGUUCGGAAUCAUUGGGCGUAAAGGGCGCGUAGGUGGUCUUGUGUGUCUAUCGUGAAAGCACACGGCUCAACCGUGUAAAGUCGGUGGAAACUGCAGGACUUGAGGUUGGGAGGGGCUGGUGGAAUUCCCUGUGUAGCGGUGAAAUGCGUAGAGAUGGGGGAGAACACUUGUGGCGAAGGCGGCCAGCUGGACCAAUCCUGACACUGAGGCGCGACAGCGUGGGGAGCAAACAGGAUUAGAUACCCAUGUAGUCCCUGAGCGGGCUGGCAAGGCGCAU
Molecule: ribosomal RNA, 473 nt
Filed under: uncultured bacterium
Lineage: Bacteria
Description: bacterial SSU rRNA
Rfam family: Bacterial small subunit ribosomal RNA
Source: RNAcentral